GUCGUCAGCUCGUGUCGUGAGAUGUGGUUAAGUCCGCAACGAGCGCAACCCUUACUCCUUGUUGCCAUCAGGUAAUGCUGAGCACUCUAGGGGAACUGCCGGUGACAAACCGGAGGAAGGUGGGGAUGACGUCAAAUCAUCACGGCCCUUAUGUCCAGGGCUACACACGUGCUACAAUGGCCGGUACAAUGAGAAGCAAGACUGCGAAGUGGAGCAAAUCUCAAAAAACCGGUCUCAGUUCGGAUCGGAGUCUGCAACUCGACUCCGUGAAGUUGGAAUCGCUAGUAAUCGUGGAUCAGCACGCCACGGUGAAUACGUUCCCGGGCCUU
RNAcentral lists this ribosomal RNA (329 nucleotides) under uncultured Leptospiraceae bacterium. Its description in RNAcentral is "bacterial SSU rRNA". It matches the Rfam family "Bacterial small subunit ribosomal RNA", at positions 1051 to 1382 of the family's 1533-position model. Lineage: Bacteria; Pseudomonadati; Spirochaetota; Leptospiria; Leptospirales; Leptospiraceae. The record is from RNAcentral.